GCCGGGGUGGCGGAACUGGCAGACGCAGCCGACUUAAAAUCGGCGAGCCUUCGGGCUAUGCGGGUUCGACUCCCGCCCCCGGCA
This 84-nucleotide transfer RNA is filed under the name Thermoleophilia bacterium. It matches the Rfam family "tRNA". Rfam says of the family: Transfer RNA (tRNA) molecules are approximately 80 nucleotides in length. Lineage: Bacteria; Bacillati; Actinomycetota; Thermoleophilia. The record is from Rfam by way of RNAcentral.